RNAcentral lists this small nuclear RNA (82 nucleotides) under Neogale vison (American mink). Its description in RNAcentral is "Neovison vison (American mink) U4 spliceosomal RNA (ENSNVIG00000010019.1)". It matches the Rfam family "U4 spliceosomal RNA", at positions 1 to 81 of the family's 138-position model. Rfam says of the family: U4 small nuclear RNA (U4 snRNA) is a component of the major U2-dependent spliceosome. The structure of U4 snRNA from yeast and human has been reported. Lineage: Eukaryota; Metazoa; Chordata; Mammalia; Carnivora; Mustelidae. The record is from Rfam by way of RNAcentral.
AGCUUUGUGCAGUGGCAGUAUCGUAGCCAAUGAGGUUUAUCUGAGGCACAGUUAUUGCUAAUUGAAAAAGAUUAUUUGAAAA